Molecule: ribosomal RNA, 253 nt
Filed under: uncultured bacterium
Lineage: Bacteria
Description: partial 16S ribosomal RNA
Rfam family: Bacterial small subunit ribosomal RNA
Source: RNAcentral
UACGUAGGUGGCGAGCGUUGUCCGGAUUUACUGGGCGUAAAGAGCGCGCAGGCGGUCGUUCAAGUCGGAUGUGAAAGCCCCCGGCUCAACUGGGGAGGGUCAUUCGAUACUGAUCGACUCGAAGGCAGGAGAGGGAAGCGGAAUUCCCGGUGUAGUGGUGAAAUGCGUAGAUAUCGGGAGGAACACCAGUGGCGAAGGCGGCUUCCUGGCCUGUUCUUGACGCUGAGGCGCGGAAGCUAGGGGAGCAAACGGG